GUCCUGCUAGGCCGGGUCUGAGACCCCGGGGGAGUCCGGAGUGGGCCUGGCUCCCGGAGGAGUGGCCCCUAGGGUCUUGGUGUGGGGCCGGGUCCUGGAUGGGGAGGUCGGGGGUAAAAGGAUUACGGCUGCCCCCUGCUGGAGGAGACUGCCCCACGGGCCGAGGCCGUGCCCGAGGCCGGCAGGAGCAGGAGACGGAGGGGAGGAGGGUGCCAGCAGCCAGAGCCGGGCAGGCCCCCACCCUUUCUGUCCUCUUCAUGCUGACUGCUGCCUGGCCCGCUUGGCUUGUGCCACUCAGACCACCUGUCACCUGCCCAGAGGAGCCAGAUCUGACCAGCGUGGGCAGGAGCCGGUUUUCCGCACUGUUCUAGCAUUUGGACCUCGUUUCCUCUCUCCCUCUGAUACUUCAGCAGCCUCCCAGAGACAUCCCAGUGCAGGCCUCUUAGCAAGUCCCAGGCGGCCUACAGUCUAGACUCCUGUGCUGGCUUUACCUCCCAGCAUAGUCUGAAAUGUGCCUACGCUCUGGUUGGACUGGCUUCAGUACUCCAUCUGCCUGCUGCCCCCAUAUGCUGUAGAAGGUACAAGAGAUCACUGAAGCCAGAAAUCCUCAGUUCCCACAGUCCCUGACCUCCUGACGCUCCCCUUCCCACCAUUUACACUGAUGUUUCCCUUCCUUCUCUUCCAGGACAGUGGAAGAGAUGCUGUUCCUUCAGUCAAGGGCAUCUCCUGUAAAAUACCCUUUUGUUCUUGUGUGUUUUCAAACAUUCUCUCCUGGUUCCUUCAGAUCUCUGCCAACUUGAGCUCUAUAUCCCAUGCCCCUCUCCCGCUGCUACCCUCUCUCUACCCAGCUUCCAGCUCCCCUGUCCCCCAAAGCCAAACUUCCUUAAGUGCCACCAUCAUUUUUUUCUCACCAUUUUCUUAUUCUUUACCUCACUGUGUGUGACUUUUUCCCAACUAUAAUGGGGUUGAAAUGACUUUAACCAAGGUCACGAUGCCAAGUCAUUGUUUACUAUUUUUGACUUCUUGACUUUUACCCUGUUGACACUUGGUCCCCUCUGAAGCUGUCUCUUCUAUGGCAUUAAACUUUUGAAGUUUCCUUUGCCUCUCUGAAUGCUUCCUUGACAAUAUCUCUGUCUGUCCUUAUUCAAGACUGUUCCUCAGAGCCAUUCAGUCCCUGCUGCCUCCUUUAGCAUAAAAGAGUAGGUUUUAUUCAAGUGAGAAGAAAAGAGAUGGAGCUCCCACAAGAUGAGAAGGGAUCCAAAAGGGGUUGCCCCCUCAGUUUCUCCUUGCUGUAUACUCUCUUCCCAGGUGGUCUCACUCCCUCUUAUGGCUUCAAUUAUCAACAACUCUUGGGGUUUUUGUUUGUUUGUUUGUUUGUUUUUGCAGUAUUGGGGAUUGAACCUAGAGCCUCAUACAUGAUAGGUAAGUGCUCUACUACUGAGCUACAGCCCCAGCCCAGCUCUUGAAUCUUUUGUGUUGAUCUCUUCUCUGAGCGUCAGGCUCAUAUUACCACUGUCUCAAGUGGAUGUCAUAAAAUCAGUUUGUCAAAAAUACAGCUCAUUGUUUUCCUUUAAAAUGCAUUUGCUUUUUUAAGGUUUACCUCUAGCAUUCUCAGGGCCAUGGGCAGGAGCACAAGUGGAAGCCUACAUAUCACAUUUGGAGUAGUUGAAAGCACUCAAGCUAAAUAAAUUAUGUUAUGGUUUCUUACUCAGACACAUAAACUUUUCUAACAACCCAGAAGGUCAUAUUUGAAUUUAGAAUUCUUGUGCUUUCUGGAGUGCUGGGCCAGGAUGUGGUAGCUUAGGGAAAGCUGACUCCCUGACCCCAACCCUCAUUCUGCACUUCUCUUCCCUUCUGGGUUUGGCCCUACAGUACAAAGGGCCAUAUGCUUUUGAACACCCAAAGUCCCUGUGUCCAAGCUCUGCUCAUACCUCCCAAGCUGCAUUUCCUUCUCUGUUACUCUUGAAUGGGGUUGAAUCAGAAUCCUGAACCAGAGCACAAGGGAGAAGAAGGGUUGACCCAGAAAGAGGAAUUGAAGAUUGAGGUCAUGAAAGCGAAUCAAGAAAAAGAUUCAUGACCCCAUGAAAAAGGUUCAUCAUGGGAAUGGGUUUGGGAACCAGGCAGGGUAAGGAAGUGGCUAGAGGAAGAUGCCCUGAGGCAGUUAUAAGGAUCUGUCUUGGCUGGAUCUAGGGAUGGCAAGUUCUGCAUUCUCAGCAAGUGACAUCAUACAUUAUCGAGUCAUCUUAGCUGGGAAAGCAACAAACUCUGGAUGCUCUCUUUAUCCUCCCUCAAAUCCAAGCAGUUAGGUUUUCUGUUUUCUUAAUAACUUGAAUGGAUUUCUCUUCAUCUUGAAGUUCAUGCUAUCAUCUCCCACCUAAGUGAUUGCAACAGCCCGAGUCUAACCUGUCUCCUUGCCUUGGUCUUGUUUCCCUAGAAUCCAUUUCUCCAUAGCAACUGGAAUGAUCUUUCUGAGUACAAAUGUGAUUACUCCAUUAGAAAGCACAAGUUUCUGCUUAUUGCCUUUAGGAGAAAGUCCGAGCUCUUUAGCAUGUCAUUCACAGUAUUUGGUGAUCUGACCCCUGCUCACCUCUCUAACUGCAUUGUUCAGCUCUUCCUGGUUCCUAACACAUAUAAAAUACCAUGCACAUACUCCCCAAAAUGAACAGCCAUAUAAAUUCACAUAAACAAUACACAUUCACACUAUCAGAGAUGAGGCAUAUAUGAACUUGAACGCCCACACCACAUACAUUCCCACACUGUAAUACAGUAGCUCACAAAUAUACACGCUUAUAACCCUGUGCGUGUAUGCAUUCACAACAUACUCUGAAAGCUCACACACCACAUUCUGUCACGUUCUCCUGCAUAUUUUCCACACACAUUCAUACACACUCACAUAUUCACACCCUGUACACCUCAGUCACUCAUACACCCACACCACAAAACUUAAGUACCACAUACUCUCAGACCAUGCAUGCUUACAUGGUCGGACCUUUAACCAUACUCAUCUAGUUCUUAUUCCUGCAACCUCUAGCACCAGGCCUUUUUUCAAGCUGGUCUUUCUUCUGGAAUGCUUCUUUCUGGGUUGCUUUCCUGCAGAAAGCCUUUCCUGAACCCGAAGCUUGGAAGAUCUGAAGGAUUCCCUUUAGAAUCAAACCUAAGGCUUACUUGUUUAGUCUGGAAGUAAGAAACUAGAGUUUAGCUUCUUAAACUGAGGUUUCUUAAAUGUACUUCUCCCAAGCAUAUAAUUUUUGUCACCCUGUCUGUUGUCUCAUAGUCCUUAAUGGUACAAAAUUUAAAACAGGAGGGGUCUGGGUAGGGUGGUCCCUAUAGAAAUGAAAUUCCAGCUGGAUGGCAGGGAACCCAGUGGUAGGAGGAAGGGGAGUAAGACUGCAGGGAAGUGACCGCAGACCUGCAGGGCUUUUGUGUCUUGAUGCACUUGCCCAGCUUUUCAGAAGUGUGUCUAGUUUGGAGUGAGUCAAGUUCUAGGGAUUUGUUUAGCCUGCAGGAUCCUCCGAGGGGAUCUUUACUUCCAGUGGAGUGUUGAAGCUGUGCAGUGGGUAGGCUGGCAGCAUCUGAAGUACAGGGAUUGAGGUGAAUCAGGGCGGGGGUUGAAUGACCCAGCUUGGGAACUCAGGAAGAGGGCCUCAGAGGAGGGUUAUUAGUCUCAAAUGUCAUGCAGAGGUGGAGAAGGAUGUGGCACCUAGGAGGCCACCCACAGCCUUUCUAGAACAGCAGCAUUUGGAGUCUGUUGCCAAAUUGUACAGGCUUAAAUAGGCAGAGAACAGAAAUCAAAGUCCUCCUCUCAGGGAAGGAGGAAGAGUUCAUGUCUGCUGAUGAACAGAGGAGAGUGCCAGGUAGGGAGGGCAAGGUACAGUCCCAGGACAGAGCAAAGGUCACUGCACGGGUGAGUGGGCUCUGAGUGCAUGUGGAAAUUCUACAUUGGACAGGAAGGAACACAGCUUCCUCCAGGACAGGAAGGAUAUUGUAGGGAGGGAAGUGAAUGUAACAACCACCAAUGUUUUAUCAUCUGCUUCCACCUUGGUAACCUCUAGCAACACAGGCUGUUAGCCACAGACUCCUAUGGCCACCCCCCAUCACCACCACCAAAUUCUCCCUCUGGUAUCUUCAGUGCUAAGCAUUUUUUGCUCAUAGCUUUCCAUUCUUUGAGCUCUCCCUCCUCCAUGUCACCACACUCAGUUCUGUGGCCUCUAUUGCCUCCUGGCCUCUGAGUACCCGCCACCCCCACCACAGUCUCCACAUAGGCUUAGCCCAUGGAGCAUCCCUUCAGUUGCUUUGCUGCGAACACCUGCACCUUCUUCACUUGCUCUUCUGUCUCACCCUCCUCUGUACAUUUCCAGCCCCAUGCUAAUAGGCUCCACCCUCAGGCUUCAGUCCUGUUUCCUCUCCAAAGCUUCUACAUGUGGGUUGUUAGGUGCUUCCUGGCCAUUUCUAACUGGACAGUAAUGGGGUGCUAAUGAUGAGGGUUGGGGUAGGCUAAGGGCUAGAGUUGGGGGUCAAGGGUGGGAAGGCCGAGGGUUCAUUACAUACUGGACCCAGCAGGCUAGCACAGUUGGAUUCCAGAGCUGGGAAAUUCAUGUCUUGCAGUGCUGCUUGGAAGCUUGGUUGAGGGAAGGAGUGCCUACUCUUAGGUGAGUAGAAUGGGGACCUAGUUUUGCCUUUUCAUUUCUAUGGUCCUGUGUGCUCACACUCCCUUCCUUCACUUAGUAGGGCCAAUGUCCCCAAGUUUGUUACUAUCUGUGCCUUCCCUCCAUAGUUUCCUGAGACCCCAAGCACACUGAGUCUCUCCUCACUCAGCAGCCUCACCAUUUCCUUCCCACUGUCCUUGGACCCAGGCCUCUUAUAGUUACCCUGGCGUUGAGAAGGACUUGCUGCCAUCUCUCCGAGCCCACUGGUGAGCCCACUGAUGUUAAGGCCGCCUGCCUGAGUCUUGAUUGCAGACUUGAGCUCCUGAUUCUCCCGAAUGAGCCGCACAAGCUUCUUCAGUUCCUCAUUCUCCCGCACCAGCCUCUCUAUCUGAUGCCGAAGCCCCUCAUAAUUGGAAGAGGUACAGGCACAGGCCAGUGAGCAGGCUCCUGGAACGUCGUGGAAGUGAAGAAGCGGGAGAUGAAGCCGUGCUGCCAUCAGUUAUUGGAGAUUGAACCAGGGGCCUUGUGCAUGGUAGUCAAGCACUCUACUACAGAGCUUCAUCCCCAGCCCAAUCCCUAUAUCUGGGAUUCAACUUGGUGAUCUGAUCAGAAUGAGUGAGUAUAGGCUUUGAACCUUUUUACAUUAAAGUAGUUCUUCUGGGCUGGGGAUAUAGCUCAGUUGGUAGAGUGCUUGCCUUGCAUGCAUAAGGCCCUGGGUUCUAAUCCCCAUCACCAAAAAAAAAAAAAAAAACCCAAAAACAAAAAUCAGCAGUUCUUCCUCUACAGUCCUGGGGAGGCAAGUGAAGAGCCUGGGUCUUGAAGGUCCAUUAAUUAUAACCAGGUGUUCAUUCAGCACUGAUAACUUAUAUCUGACCCUGAAGACAAACCAAGAGUAGGUGUCAUUUAUCCCUGCUCCAUAGGUGAGUCUGUCCAACCUGUAGUGACCUUACACUCCCAACCCUGCACAUUCAGUGGAAGGCUGAACUGGAUAUAAAAGCUCCUCAGACUCCUUAAACUAGGGCCUUCUGUCAUCUGCCACUUUCCUCUGCCCUCACUAAAGACUUCCCAGGCUCCAGGGACUGCAUUUAGUACUUGGGCUGGGACAGCUUUACGAAUGAGUCAUUGGUAUUACAAGUGUGGGGCACUGUGCCCAGCAGAAGAGGGUCUUUUCAUAGUAAAUCUUUCAUAUUUUCUUUCUUUUUUGGGGGGAGGGUAUACCAGGGGUUGAACUCAGGGGCCACAACCUUAGCCCUAUUUUAUAUAUUUUAGAUACAGGGUCUCACUGAGUUGCUUAGUGCUUUGCUUUUGCUGAGGCUGGCUUUGAACUCUGAUCCUCCUGCCUCAGCCUCCUAAGCCACUGGGAUUACAGGUGUGUGCCACCACGCUUGGCCCAAUCUUUCAUAUUUCCUGAACUUGAACCAUGUUAAUGUAUUACUAACUAUAAAAACAAAUAUAUACCAUUAAAUGGAGUGGAAUGAAGGAGAGUAUGAAGAAGGAGUUGCACAAGAAUACCUUAAUUCAUCCAGCUUUUAUUGUUGAUGAAUCUGUCAAUAUAAUCAAUCUUCCCUUGU
Molecule: long non-coding RNA, 6217 nt
Organism: Marmota monax (woodchuck)
Lineage: Eukaryota; Metazoa; Chordata; Mammalia; Rodentia; Sciuridae
Exons: 5
Source: RefSeq, a predicted model, not a curated record